UGUCUUCAAUUAGUAAAAUAAAGAGUACAGCUGGGUUUUAUACAUGGGCAUCUCUUUUAUUUAAUUUUUUUUUGUUAAAAUCAAACGAAAGGGCAAAGUAAUUUUUUGGGGAAGUAAUGAGUAAUGAUGAUUUUGCUGGUCAGUGAGAUUGGUAUAGCAAAGAGACCAGCCCAAAACCGAUCAGUGAGAUUGGUAAAGUAAAAUUGCACUCUCCCUUCCACUAGACCAAAACCGAAGACUUAUUAUGCUCAUGAGAGGCACGAAAGGGCAAAAGCUACAGAGGGACUGAGCAUUUGAAGACCAACAAAGUGUAUGAGAAAAAAGGAUGAGUGAGGCUUGUAACUGGACUAUCUAGUGGACAAACUCUAAAAACAAAUUGUGUUUAUCACAGAUUGAAUCUUAUGAUUCUUAUCAUCUCACGAAUUGCUCCAAGAUCUAUUCAAACAUCUACAAAAUUUCACUCGGCUACUACAAUUGCAAAAGAACAAGAACCUGGACACUUUGUAUAGAGGAUUUAGUGACUGGAGAAAGAAGGGAUUUAUGGAUAAAGAAAGGUGUGAGGGGAGCCUUGGACAAUUAGGGUCAGAGAUCUUACAACCAUAAAUUUAUUGCAAUUCAGUUCAAGUUGUUCAUUGAUUGGUUUUCUACUAUGUAUAGCAUGUAUAUUGAUUGAUGUCCUUCUCUAUGUUGCUCUACUAUCCACACUCGUUCCAUUCUAUUUAUGAGUUUGGCUCAUUUUUUUAUUUACUGUUUGGAAAUGCUUAUAGCAGCCAUAAACAUUCAUAAUGUAAUAUGUGUAUAUAUAUAUCCUUGAUUUGAAUGACGUUUUUAAAA
This is a long non-coding RNA of Humulus lupulus (European hop), 834 nucleotides long. RefSeq lists it as uncharacterized. Lineage: Eukaryota; Viridiplantae; Streptophyta; Magnoliopsida; Rosales; Cannabaceae. The transcript has 4 exons. The record is from RefSeq and is a predicted model, not a curated record.